CACGUAGGGGGCAAGCGUUGUCCGGAUUUAUUGGGCGUAAAGAGCUCGUAGGUGGCUGAGUAAGUCGGAUGUUAAAUCCCCAGGCUCAACCUGGGACACCACCCGAUACUGCUCUGGCUAGAGUCCGGUAGGGGAGCGUGGAAUUCCUGGUGUAGCGGUGAAAUGCGUAGAUAUCUGGAGGAACACCGGUGGCGAAGGCGGCAUCCUGGACCGGCAUUGACGCUGAGGAGCGAAAGCCAGGGGAGCAAACGGG
RNAcentral lists this ribosomal RNA (253 nucleotides) under uncultured bacterium. Its description in RNAcentral is "partial 16S ribosomal RNA". It matches the Rfam family "Bacterial small subunit ribosomal RNA", at positions 524 to 776 of the family's 1533-position model. The record is from RNAcentral.